UACGUAGGGUGCGAGCGUUAAUCGGAAUUACUGGGCGUAAAGCGUGCGCAGGCGGUUGUGUAAGACAGGUGUGAAAUCCCCGGGCUUAACCUGGGAACUGCGCUUGUGACUGCACGGCUAGAGUACGGCAGAGGGGGGUGGAAUUCCGCGUGUAGCAGUGAAAUGCGUAGAUAUGCGGAGGAACACCGAUGGCGAAGGCAAUCCCCUGGGCUGGUACUGACGCUGAUGCGCGAAAGCGUGGGUAGCAAGCGGG
RNAcentral lists this ribosomal RNA (253 nucleotides) under uncultured bacterium. Its description in RNAcentral is "partial 16S ribosomal RNA". It matches the Rfam family "Bacterial small subunit ribosomal RNA", at positions 524 to 776 of the family's 1533-position model. The record is from RNAcentral.